UGCCCUAUGAGUCAUUUAAAUGGCCGCAGUAUUUUGACUGUGCAAAGGUAGCAUAAUCACUUGUUCUUUAAUUGGGGGCUGGAAUGAAAGAGGCGACGAAAUCUAGGCUAUUUAAAUUUUAAAUUAAAUUGACAGACAGGUUAAAAGGCCUGUAUGCACCAGAGGGACGAUAAGACCCUAUAAAACUUUACCUUUAGUGUAAGAUUAGGUAGAAAUAAGACUAUAUCUAAAAGUUUAACUGGGGCGGUAAUUAUAAAAACAAUUAUAUUUGUAAUAUAUUAAAUAGUGGUUUAUAGAACUCUUUAAGAAAUAAAACAAGUUACUUUAGGGAUAACAGCGUAAUUCCCCCAGAGAGUGCUAAUUGGCGGGGGAGCUUACGACCUCGAUGUUGAAUUGGGGUGUCUCGUGUAAGCAGUCAUAUACGCAGGUAGUCUGUUCGACUAUUAAACCCCC
RNAcentral lists this ribosomal RNA (453 nucleotides) under Proasellus rouchi. Its description in RNAcentral is "partial 16S ribosomal RNA". It matches the Rfam family "Bacterial large subunit ribosomal RNA", at positions 1860 to 2597 of the family's 2925-position model. The record is from RNAcentral. Lineage: Eukaryota; Metazoa; Arthropoda; Malacostraca; Isopoda; Asellidae.